GUACACGCUGUGACUAGCAUAUCAAUAAGCGGAGGAAAAGAAACUAACAAGGAUCCCCCUAGUAACGGCGAGUGAAGCGGGAAGAGCUCAAAUUUGAAAUCUUAAAGGGUUUCCCUUUACGAAUUGUAGUUUAAAGAAGUGUUUUCUGUUGAGGUUUUGGUAAAAGUUCUUUGGAAUAGGACAUCAUAGAGGGUGAGAAUCCCGUAUUUGACCUUUACUUUCAACUUUGUGAUACACUUUCAAAGAGUCGGAUUGUUUGGGAAUGCAGUCCAAAAUGGGUGGUAAAUUUCAUCUAAAGCUAAAUAUUGGCGAGAGACCGAUAGCGAACAAGUACCGUGAGGGAAAGAUGAAAAGAACUUUGAAAAGAGAGUUAAACAGUACGUGAAAUUGUCAAAAGGGAAGCGUUUGACACCAGUGUUGUUUUUCUGAAAAUCAAUUAAAGAACUGUUUAUGCUAAGUUGUUUAGACUUUAUCAGCUAACUGUUUAGUUUUGAGCUUUUCUUUAAUGCACUUUUCAGUUAACAAGUCAACAUCAAUUUCUUUUGCUGUAAAAAAGCUUGAGGAAGGUGGCUUGAGAUUCGUCUUAAGUGCUUAUAGCCUCUUGCCUAUGCAGUCGGAGAGAUUGAGGUCUGCAGCGUAGAUCCUUCGGGGCUAAAUGCAUUUGUGCUAAGUUAUAACAUUUUAUAGACAACUUGUUGACUAUGAUUUGUCUUGUAGCUUACUCGCUUAUGUUAUUUUACCUACGCUUAGGAUGUUGACGCGCGUGUGUGCGU
This 773-nucleotide ribosomal RNA is filed under the name uncultured Neocallimastigales. Its description in RNAcentral is "partial large subunit ribosomal RNA". It matches the Rfam family "Eukaryotic large subunit ribosomal RNA", at positions 22 to 640 of the family's 3401-position model. The record is from RNAcentral. Lineage: Eukaryota; Fungi; Neocallimastigomycota; Neocallimastigomycetes; Neocallimastigales.